GCUCUAGUGGUGUAGUGGUUAUCACGCGUGCUUCACACGCACGAGGCCCUCGGUUCGAUCCCGAGCUGGAGCA
This 73-nucleotide transfer RNA is filed under the name Rhizophagus clarus. RNAcentral describes it as "Glomus clarum tRNA". It matches the Rfam family "tRNA". From Rfam's summary of the family: Transfer RNA (tRNA) molecules are approximately 80 nucleotides in length. Their secondary structure includes four short double-helical elements and three loops (D, anti-codon, and T loops). Further hydrogen bonds mediate the characteristic L-shaped molecular structure. tRNAs have two regions of fundamental functional importance: the anti-codon, which is responsible for specific mRNA codon recognition, and the 3' end, to which the tRNAs corresponding amino acid is attached (by aminoacyl-tRNA synthetases). tRNAs cope with the degeneracy of the genetic code in two manners: having more than one tRNA (with a specific anti-codon) for a particular amino acid; and 'wobble' base-pairing, i.e. permitting non-standard base-pairing at the 3rd anti-codon position. The record is from Rfam by way of RNAcentral. Lineage: Eukaryota; Fungi; Glomeromycota; Glomeromycetes; Glomerales; Glomeraceae. RNAcentral also lists the same sequence under 3 other names.